AAACAAUAGAGAAAAACUUUAAAAAAAUAAAAAUAAACAAAGUGCCUCAACGACGAACAACUUUGUCACCUUCUAUUCACCCCACAUGUUAUAUUUUGAAUUUUUUCUUUCCUUCAUCUCCUUCUCCAGGCUGGUGAUGACAAUCUCCUGCAAUCUCCUGCUCCUUCGCUUGGCGAAACAAAUUAAUGACUUUUGUCUUUAUUCUAC
RNAcentral lists this long non-coding RNA (207 nucleotides) under Phaseolus vulgaris (common bean). Its description in RNAcentral is "long non-coding RNA (PVUL_LNC003302)". Lineage: Eukaryota; Viridiplantae; Streptophyta; Magnoliopsida; Fabales; Fabaceae. The record is from RNAcentral.